Molecule: long non-coding RNA, 606 nt
Organism: Mirounga angustirostris (Northern elephant seal)
Lineage: Eukaryota; Metazoa; Chordata; Mammalia; Carnivora; Phocidae
Exons: 2
Source: RefSeq, a predicted model, not a curated record
CUCAAGAAUUCUUUUUUUUAAAGUAGAUUCCACACUCAGUGUGGAGCCCAACAUGGGGCUUGAACUCACAACCCUGAGAUUAAGACCGAGCUGAGAUCAACAGUCGGAUGCUUACCCAACUGAGCCACCCAGGUGCCCCUCCCAAUCAAGAAUUCUAUACUCAUCAACAUAUUUUUCAAAAGCAAAGGCAAAAAUAAAGACUUUCAGGCAUACAAAAGCUGAAAAACCCUCACCAGCAGUUCCGCACCACUGAACAUGUUAAAGGACACUUUUUUUAAAGAUUUUAUUUAUUUAUUGCCCCUUAAAGGACAUUUUUCAAGCAGAAUGAAAAUGAUGCUAUUUGGAAACCUGGAUCUACACAAAGGAAUAAGGAGCCUUAGGAAAUGAUCUGCUGUCGAAUAUCUUCUAUCACUUGUUAGCAGAGGUCGGCUUCCCUCUACUCUGUUGACAAGAGUUGGAAAGCCGGAAGGAGAUUCCAAAGAGCAGCCUGCAGUGCUUUGGGCCCCGAGCAAAAGAGAAAAACACUCCGAGAGACUAGACUGGUGUGGUGUGUUUACGUAACUGGCUCGAGUUCCCCAGAUUAAAUAGCUUAGAAUUUCUUAAGAA